UGGGGAAUAUUGCGCAAUGGGGGGAACCCUGACGCAGCCAUGCCGCGUGAAUGAAGAAGGCCUUAGGGUUGUAAAGUUCUUUCGGUAUUGAGGAAGGUUGAUGUGUUAAUAGCACAUCAAAUUGACGUUAAAUACAGACGAAGCACCGGCUAACUCCGUGCCAGCAGCCGCGGUAAUACGGAGGGUGCGAGCGUUAAUCGGAAUAACUGGGCGUAAAGGGCACGCAGGCGGUUAUUUAAGUGAGGUGUGAAAGCCCCGGGCUUAACCUGGGAAUUGCAUUUCAGACUGGGUAACUAGAGUACUUUAGGGAGGGGUAGAAUUCCACGUGUAGCGGUGAAAUGCGUAGAGAUGUGGAGGAAUACCGAAGGCGAAGGCAGCCCCUUGGGAAUGUACUGACGCUCAUGUGCGAAAGCGUGGGGAGCAAACAGGAUUAGAUACCCUGGUAGUCCACGCUGUAAACGCUGUCGAUUUGGGGGUUGGGGUUUAACUCUGGCGCCCGUAGCUAACGUGAUAAAUCGACCGCCUGGGGAGUACGGCCGCAAGGUUA
Molecule: ribosomal RNA, 547 nt
Filed under: uncultured bacterium
Lineage: Bacteria
Description: bacterial SSU rRNA
Rfam family: Bacterial small subunit ribosomal RNA
Source: RNAcentral